CGGAGGGUGCGAGCGUUGUCCGGAUUUAUUGGGUUUAAAGGGUGCGUAGGCGGCCGUUUAAGUCCGGGGUGAAAGCCCGCUGCUCAACAGCGGAACUGCCCUGGAUACUGGAUGGCUUGAGUACAGACGAGGUUGGCGGAAUGGACCGAGUAGCGGUGAAAUGCAUAGAUACGGUCCAGAACCCCGAUUGCGAAGGCAGCUGACUAGGCUGUUACUGACGCUGAGGCACGAAAGCGUGGGGAGCGAACAGGAUU
Molecule: ribosomal RNA, 254 nt
Filed under: uncultured bacterium
Lineage: Bacteria
Description: partial 16S ribosomal RNA
Rfam family: Bacterial small subunit ribosomal RNA
Source: RNAcentral